AAAAUCUGAACGUCAAGAACGUCAAAAUCUGAACGUUUACAUGUCCAGGCCCAGGGGCCCAUGGUUUCAUAAUCCGUCCAUGUGUCCCAGUUCAGAGGGUGCAUGGCUUCCAGCGUGGUGUGGUAGCAGAGAUGGGCAAGAAAUAACACCCUAGAACAUGGGUGUGUGCAGGGGUUGUCUAUUUUCAUGACAGUCUCUAAGAAUGCCGUGAGAUUGGCGAGGAAUAUUUGUUUCUCUCCUUUAUGCUUAGGUCAGGGAAACUGGUGGAGGGCGACACUAAAAACUCCUGUCUGGCAAGGUGUGCCGAGUCAUUUUCAGUGAUGCCUGACCAUGCAGUUGUGAAGUGCCUUUUUGUUCUCUGCAAUCUGAUCUGAGAACAGUGGUUAGUUGUUGUUUUCCAGUAAGCCAAUUAUUCCCCUUUUGGCAGAGGAGGUGACGGCACAUAUCAGGAUGUAGGACAUUCACAGCAGGAGCUUGAGCAAGAUCUAAACACCGGAAAAGGCCAGCGGAACGGAUGAUAUCCAAGCAACCUUGCAAAACCAAGCAGGGACUCAUUGGUAUUGGAAUGGUGAUCUUGGGCCAGAGAGCAGUGAAGGACAUUGCUCAGAGACCUACCUGCCAUGCUCAUAUCAUCGCCUCAUGAGUGGAUGUUGACGCCAGGCUGGUCCACAUCACAAACAAAGAUGGAAAAAACAAAGAUGGGCCUCACCAUGGCCUUUACAUGCUCAUGACACAAAACACACACACAUGAACACCAACCCAGCCACCUACUGUGAGGAGGAUUCAGCGUCAGGAGGAUUCAGCGUCAGGAGGAUUCAGCGUCAGGGUGAUUCAGCGUCAGGGUGAUUCAGUGUCAGGGUGAUUCAGCGUCAGGGUGAUUCAGCAUGAGGAGGAUUCAGCGUUGGGGUGAUUCAGCGUCAGGGUGAUUCAGCAUGAGGAGGAUUACAUCUUUACAGCGUGAACUGUGAGGAUGUGUUGUGAGGGCGAUUCGGUGUGAACUGAUCACAUCCACUACUUCUAUCCUCUUUCUGUACUUUCUUUUUUCUUUUUUUUUAUCAGUUCAUGACUUCACAGUUUGUUUUACAAUACAAUGUUCACCACACUCUUAUUAGACAGUCCAUCUCAACACACAUUUUUCUCUGGAAUACCAAAGACCAUGUCAUUCAUACCUUUUGUGUUUCUUGUCUGAUUUCAGUGUGGCCUAAGCAAGACAUUUUCCGCCACAUCUCCCACCAAGUCCAUACAAUACCUCCAUGCUCCAUACCUGCUGCCAUCUCCAGACAUUAUGUGCCACAAAAAAGGAUCACAGAUGUGACAAGCAGUGUCUUUUUGUGGAGUCUCCCAGGAUUCGGCAUGGCGAGGCCCAGACUUGGCAGCACAAUCCUGAACUCACUGAGGAGCUUUUGAAGGCUUUUUUCCUGCAAUGUAUAUGGAAAGGAUGGAGACAUACCAAGGACCUGGAUGACAAGUAAUAGAACAUAACGACAUCUGUUUUCAUGAGGAAAUAAGAGACACAAAGCAAGAUGGAGUCACUCUUCACACAAGUGGAGCGAGAGCCAUGAAGACUUACUCAAGAAAAGUUCACCGUGUACAGACCCAUUCUUUAAAGAGGACACACGCGAGGUCUGACACAUACACUUGUCACCUCCUUGAACAGACUUUUGUGAAAGGCAAAGAAGGUUUAGAGCCAGAAACAUUUGUUACUUCCAGUCGAUUUGUCACUUCCAGUCAAACUGAUAAUUACAGACAGUCAUGCUAAUUAAAACUUGCCUGGGCAGUUGCAUAAAAAACAGAUUACAGACAAACGGCUGGUGUCACUGCAGUAUUCACACUCUUCUCUCUCUCCCGUGCACUCCUUUCUUUUCCUUCCUCUCCUCCUCCUGCUGCUGCUGCUGCUGCUGCAAGGCUGGCCUGUUCAAAAGGACUUGACAUUAUCACUGUUUGCACAAGCAAUAUGAAUACAAAUAAAGAAAGCAAAAGUGA
Long non-coding RNA from Clupea harengus (Atlantic herring), 1983 nucleotides. RefSeq lists it as uncharacterized. Lineage: Eukaryota; Metazoa; Chordata; Actinopteri; Clupeiformes; Clupeidae. The record is from RefSeq and is a predicted model, not a curated record. The transcript has 2 exons.